AUUAAACCAUAAACGAUGACAUCCACUUUAGUCAGUCCAGCUCCUGGAAUAGCCUUCCAGCCACUGUCUCCCAGUGUUCUGAAUAAAUGUGCUUGGACUUCAUUGUAAAACACCGGGUCAAUGGACUGCCGAGUACUCAAACAAACCCUUCUGACCAUGUGCAAAGACAGCCCUCCAGCCUGCACUGCUACAGGUGAACCCAUGGCAGGGAAAUGUGAGCAGCUGGCAGACCUACAGCAGAUGCCAUCUUAAUUGGUCUGUGAUGAAGGUGCAAAUAAACUGUGAAUAGAUGUAUACCUUGCUGAGUUGAAAUUGCAGGGGAUCUCAAGAUUUAAUUACACUAAAUGUAAGAUAUUGAAACCUUGUUAACAGCAUGUCUGAAUGGUCUCUGUUUUUAUUCUGCAGGUGGGAUUGAUGGACAGUGCUGCCUGUUCACUUACCUGGAGGACUCUGUGAAUGCAUGUCAUGAGGAAAGAGGAGCACUGAAAGCCCUGAAGCUUUGUAAUGGAGAGGAAAAUCACCAGGAUUUUUCUCACUCCCACAGAACAAGCUGCUUAUCAGAACACCAUUAUUUUCCUGGACUGUUCCUGAUGUCUCCCCCAGCUUCAGCUCUGAAAAUGAUCUCUCUGAGUCACAGCAAGUGACUCAUCUGUAUCUGUUAGGUCAGACCUUGGGACACAACGUGAUACAGAGGAGGAAGGAGACUCUUCCCUGGAGGAACUCUUGACACUUCCCAAUGCUUGACUCAGUUUGAUAAGUGGCCUUGUGCAGCUAUCGUGCUCUCUUUUCCUAGUUCCUCCACCUGUGGCUUUUAGCGCUACCUCUCACCUUGGCAGUGACAAUCUUGCCAAUGGCAAUGCAGUACAUGGGCUCUGUGCAUGGUAUGAUCCCUUCUGUACAUAGGGAGCCUUGCUACAAAAAGGUCCUUAUGCAAAUGCAACACUGACCUUGUACCAUGGGGCAGGCACCAAGCCAAAGGCAGUUCCCAAAAGCAGACUACUAGAAGGAGUUCAUAUGAAAGUAAUGUGACUUAUUUGGCACUCUCUCUGUAUGAGAAACCAACCAGAACAUAGUUGUAAAAUGCUAAAGAUCAUUUGAAAUGAACUGAAUGAAAUAUAAAGAUGACACUAAACAGUUAGUACAGUUUGAAAAUACAUAAUUGUUCCAAUAUAUAGUAAAUAUACAAUAGAAAUACAUAAAUGUGUGGGGGUCCAAGCUGUCUAUUUUGUAACUUUAUAAAUGACACUUAUGACAAUCAGUGUUGCUACUACUGAGAAUCUUCAGGAAUUCUUUAUGCUAACAUGUACAUUUGUGUCAAAGGUUAUAUUAUUUCAACUGCUAUAGGCUCCUUAUUCACAGGGAAGUGCUAUUCACGGGCUUGACAAUGCCAAAAUGGUGUAGCCAUUGUAGGAGCAUAAGAUUUCUAUUUUUUCAUCAGAAAAGUUAACUAUUGGACAGUGAUGAAGAAAUAAUCUGGGUCAAGGCUGGAAAAUUUGGACUCUUGGUGUUUUGUUAGGAAAAUACAAAUUUUAUUAGAAAAGAUGAUGAACAUGAAAUUUUCAGACUGGAAUUUGUUUCUCUCAAUAACCUUUUAUGUGACUUGUGGGAAAUUAGUCACUGUGUUUCAAUUGCCCCAUCUCUACAGUGAGCAAAACAUAUUGUAGAACUUGAGCUCAGGUGCAAGAAAUUAUCUUUCUUGACUCUGAUCCCUUAUUUGAAGUCCUAAUUUCCCAGUGAAAUCAAUCUGGUACACCUCAACAAGUCUCAUAUUCAGAAUGAUCUGCCCUCUUGUCUUCUAAGAACUGAAGAGUUGAAGAGUUUUUUUUUUUUUUUUUUUUUUUUAAAGGUAUAUCAAACUGAGUAUUUAACUCCAUUAUUUUUGAAAAUUUUGGUCACUAUAUUUAUUGUACAAAAUGACAAAGUGAAGCAGAGUGGGUGGCUGACUUGUCAAGGGCCACACACACAGUAAGUAGCAGAGACAGAAGCCUGAUUUUGAGCCCCUGGCUGAAAACACAAGAUAAAAAAUACUUAUCUCAGAUAUGACUUAACAACAACUUGGAAAAGGGCUUACUAAAACGUAAAAGAAAAAAAAAAAAAAAAAGAAAAAAAAGAAGAAAGAAGUCUAGGUCUGGCACAUGUACUUGAAGUCCAAGGUCCUGUAAAUGAGGGGGAAAGGGUGAAACAUGAAAGAUAUUUAUCUAGUUUUCUAAGGGUACGACAAAGACAGAGAAACGAAGGGAAUAAAGAUAGAUCAGGAAAGUCAGUAGCUUGACAUGAGGGUUAGGACUUGUGAAAUGGAUUAAAGAUUAGCUUAGAGACUGAUAGGACACAGGGAAUGUCAGUGAAAGAUAGUUAAGAGCUGGAAAAGGUAGCAUGCAGAGGACCACACUUAUCUUUCCCUUGAGUAUAAGUGAUCCAAACAGCAUGCCAUUCUAAAGUCCUGAAACUUGCAGAUGACUGGGAAAUAUGAGGUCAGUGGGGAAAAUUUGAGGAAGACAUGAGAGAACACAGGCCCGGAUUUCUAAUUCCUCAGAACUGUUUAUGUUUAUUCUGAAAUACACAAAUUUGGGGCUGCCUGAGAUAGGCAUUGUUGUUCAAGAGCAUUCUGAAAUAAAAGAACACAAAGAAAUUUGUCAUGUGUUGGUAGUAGUUCUGUAGUGCUGAAAGCAGUUCUGGGCUGCUUUAACACUUUUCAUGGA
This is a long non-coding RNA of Oxyura jamaicensis (ruddy duck), 2699 nucleotides long. RefSeq lists it as uncharacterized. The record is from RefSeq and is a predicted model, not a curated record. The transcript is spliced from 3 exons. Lineage: Eukaryota; Metazoa; Chordata; Aves; Anseriformes; Anatidae.